RNAcentral lists this ribosomal RNA (1603 nucleotides) under Salmonella enterica. Its description in RNAcentral is "bacterial LSU rRNA". It matches the Rfam family "Bacterial large subunit ribosomal RNA", at positions 1225 to 2812 of the family's 2925-position model. The record is from RNAcentral. Lineage: Bacteria; Pseudomonadati; Pseudomonadota; Gammaproteobacteria; Enterobacterales; Enterobacteriaceae.
UGGGUAGGGGAGCGUUCUGUAAGCCUGUGAAGGUGGCCUGUGAGGGUUGCUGGAGGUAUCAGAAGUGCGAAUGCUGACAUAAGUAACGAUAAAGCGGGUGAAAAGCCCGCUCGCCGGAAGACCAAGGGUUCCUGUCCAACGUUAAUCGGGGCAGGGUGAGUCGACCCCUAAGGCGAGGCCGAAAGGCGUAGUCGAUGGGAAACGGGUUAAUAUUCCCGUACUUGGUGUUACUGCGAAGGGGGGACGGAGAAGGCUAUGUUGGCCGGGCGACGGUUGUCCCGGUUUAAGCGUGUAGGCUGGUUUUCCAGGCAAAUCCGGAAAAUCAAGGCUGAGGCGUGAUGACGAGGCACUACGGUGCUGAAGCAACAAAUGCCCUGCUUCCAGGAAAAGCCUCUAAGCAUCAGGUAACAUCAAAUCGUACCCCAAACCGACACAGGUGGUCAGGUAGAGAAUACCAAGGCGCUUGAGAGAACUCGGGUGAAGGAACUAGGCAAAAUGGUGCCGUAACUUCGGGAGAAGGCACGCUGACACGUAGGUGAAGUGAUUUACUCAUGGAGCUGAAGUCAGUCGAAGAUACCAGCUGGCUGCAACUGUUUAUUAAAAACACAGCACUGUGCAAACACGAAAGUGGACGUAUACGGUGUGACGCCUGCCCGGUGCCGGAAGGUUAAUUGAUGGGGUCAGCGCAAGCGAAGCUCCUGAUCGAAGCCCCGGUAAACGGCGGCCGUAACUAUAACGGUCCUAAGGUAGCGAAAUUCCUUGUCGGGUAAGUUCCGACCUGCACGAAUGGCGUAAUGAUGGCCAGGCUGUCUCCACCCGAGACUCAGUGAAAUUGAACUCGCUGUGAAGAUGCAGUGUACCCGCGGCAAGACGGAAAGACCCCGUGAACCUUUACUAUAGCUUGACACUGAACAUUGAGCCUUGAUGUGUAGGAUAGGUGGGAGGCUUUGAAGUGUGGACGCCAGUCUGCAUGGAGCCGACCUUGAAAUACCACCCUUUAAUGUUUGAUGUUCUAACGUGGACCCGUUACCCGGGUUGCGGACAGUGUCUGGUGGGUAGUUUGACUGGGGCGGUCUCCUCCUAAAGAGUAACGGAGGAGCACGAAGGUUGGCUAAUCCUGGUCGGACAUCAGGAGGUUAGUGCAAUGGCAUAAGCCAGCUUGACUGCGAGCGUGACGGCGCGAGCAGGUGCGAAAGCAGGUCAUAGUGAUCCGGUGGUUCUGAAUGGAAGGGCCAUCGCUCAACGGAUAAAAGGUACUCCGGGGAUAACAGGCUGAUACCGCCCAAGAGUUCAUAUCGACGGCGGUGUUUGGCACCUCGAUGUCGGCUCAUCACAUCCUGGGGCUGAAGUAGGUCCCAAGGGUAUGGCUGUUCGCCAUUUAAAGUGGUACGCGAGCUGGGUUUAGAACGUCGUGAGACAGUUCGGUCCCUAUCUGCCGUGGGCGCUGGAGAACUGAGGGGGGCUGCUCCUAGUACGAGAGGACCGGAGUGGACGCAUCACUGGUGUUCGGGUUGUCAUGCCAAUGGCACUGCCCGGUAGCUAAAUGCGGAAGAGAUAAGUGCUGAAAGCAUCUAAGCACGAAACUUGCCCCGAGAUGAGUUCU